CCAGACUCCUACGGGAGGCAGCAGUGAGGAAUAUUGGUCAAUGGGCGGAAGCCUGAACCAGCCAAGUCGCGUGAGGGACUAAGGCCCUGCGGGUCGUAAACCUCUUUUGCCGGGGAGCAGUGGUCCGGACGCGUCCGGACCGGGAGAGUACCCGGAGAAAAAGCAUCGGCUAACUCCGUGCCAGCAGCCGCGGUAAUACGGAGGGUGCGAGCGUUAAUCGGAAUUACUGGGCGUAAAGCGCACGUAGGCUGUAUGACAAGUCAAGGGUGAAAUGCCACGGCUCAACCGUGGAACUGCCUUUGAAACUGUCAAACUGGAGUAUGUGAGAGGGCGGCGGAAUUCCUGGUGUAGGAGUGAAAUCCGUAGAUAUCAGGAGGAACAUCAGUGGCGAAGGCGGCCGCCUGGCACAAAACUGACGCUGAGGUGCGAAAGCGUGGGUAGCAAACAGGAUUAGAUACCCUCGUACC
Molecule: ribosomal RNA, 467 nt
Filed under: uncultured bacterium
Lineage: Bacteria
Description: bacterial SSU rRNA
Rfam family: Bacterial small subunit ribosomal RNA
Source: RNAcentral